UGAAUUAGAUCAAGCGUAGCUCUGAAAAAGUAACGGAUAAAAUAAACUAAGAAACAAAAAUCUUUUUGAAAUUUUCAUUUAUAAUUUUUUUCAAAUACAAAACAGGAAGUACUAUAACAAAAGACUCGAAAAUCUUAAUUAGACUGACAGACUCGAUACUACUGUACAAGACUAAUAAUUAAAAGACAACAUAAAAUAGACUAAAAAAUAAAAAGUUUCCUCAAACAGCUCGUGCAUGCAAUAGUCUUGACUAGAAUGGUCCUGGGGUAUUUGUCAUGCUCGAGUCCUGGUACAUGGAUCCAGACCUGAAUGAGAAAAAUAAGACCAAAUAGAUCAGUGACUCAAGACACUAUGCUACACCACAACACCUCCUAUUGGAAGCACGCAAGACAUGAUUGGGCUGCUUUUGCAAAAUUAACCUAUGUGGCCAAGGAUGGCUAUUAGUGCAAACUCAACAACGGUGACCUCAAAGACAUGGAAAUACCUCACUAAGGCUUAAAUGGAUUCAACUCCCAAUAAUCAUGGCCCAAAAUUAAUUUGCAGAAAUAACCCAUUUUGCAGAAACGGCCAAUAUGGCUAGAUGUGACUAAAGAUGCAAACUCAAUAAGGACGUGCCUUAAAGUAAUAUGACUCAUAGUUGUGGACUCAAGAUUCUAAGACAUGGGUAAUUGAACCACUUUACGAAAAUGAUCCCAUUUUGCAAGAAUGGCUCGUGUAGCCAAAAGUGGCUAGACAUGCAAGAUUUGGCUAAGAUCCCGCAAAGCCAAGAACCUAAGACACUAGGAAGACCGGACCCUAUGUGGGUUGCCUAUGUAUCACGUCCCGAAAGACGAGAAUCAAGUUCGCGUAGUUCGGGAAGAUUCGAUAUGGGAGAAAGCUUAAAAAAUGACACUAGUUGAAAAAAUAUAUUUUUUGUCUUCUUGAAAAAUGAUGGAAAAUGUAAAAUCUUUUUAGAUUUUUUUUUAAAAUUUUUGGAAAAUAAUGGGAAGGUGUAAAAUCUUUUGGAUUUUUUUUUUGAUUUUUUGAAAAAUAAUGGGAAAGUGUAAAAUCUUUAUGGAUUUUUCAUUUUCAUUUUCUUUUCUGUCUUUUGUUUUUGAAAAAGUAGUGAAAGAAAAAUAUAACUGGACGCUACUUGCUUCAUCUUUCACUCUUCUUUCCCAAACAUCGGUUAGCCAAAUGACCUUUUUACCCUCAAAGGUGCAACAUGUAUCACAUAAGAAUGAUUGAAUGUCUUUUUGGGCCACGGGCCUAUUUUUGAUAAAAUUUGGAUAGGCUUCCUACAAAGGGACACGGUACCUGGGACCGAGCCCUGCUAGAUCUAAAUAACAUGAUGCAAAUAAAAAUGACCUAAAGGCUGACCUUAGUUUGUGGUUUAUUAACAAGGCAAUUCGGGGGAGUGUAUGGUCGAUGGUGGCUGCUCAAGCUUUCCACCCACUCCAUACGUCCGAUGGCCCCCCCUCCUAAAUUAAGGGUGACUCAACAAAGAGUUCAUGCACGCGACGCGUACUCCGAGACUUGUUGCAGAAAGAAGACCCAUGAUUAUGCAAAUGAUGACAGUUUAUAAAGCAGUAACACAAUAAGAAAAGCGAUAAACAAAUAGCCAACAAAACAAGGAAAUACGACAAACAAAGAAAAUAAAGAAAACAAAUACCUCAACCAAAUAUCCUAAAAGCCAACAAGAUCAAAUACCAGCACGAACCUGCAACUCCCCAGCAGAGUCGCCAAAGAUGUCACACCCCUUUUUUAACAACUACCUUCACUAAACCCUCUUAAAUUAAUAAAAAGAUUUAUAAAGCUCAAAAGGGUUUUAAUUAAAAAGUGACAAAAUUGUGUUAAAAAGGAAAUAAUUCAGAGUCGCCACCUGACAUUGUUUCGGUGUGCCAGGUCACCGUUUUUCAAAAAUGAUUUUUCUUUUAAAACACUUCGAACUCCAAACUAAGUCUGCACCAGAGAUUUGGGUAAGGGGGUUCAUUUGACUUAGGGAGAAGGUAUUAGACAUUCCCCAAGUCCCGUAACUAGUACGAUUGCGUACAUGAUCAAGUUGGCUUUUAAAAUAUUCAAUUGAGAUAGAAAACACAGAAAAAGAAAAAUAAACACACAAGAGGCCCGAGGUCGUUCCCAACUAAUAAAAGAGAAGCGAAAAUGAAAAUAAAAAUACUCAGAGUUCUACUUUCGGCCUCCAAAUAUAAAUACCACGGGCAUACCCCGGAUGAAAUAUAUACAAAUCAUUCGGGGUAUUCCCCGAAUAAAUUUAACUAAGGGAAUAACGUCUCGCCACGAAACUAACAAAAAUUCUAAGGCUUCCCUACCUAAGUGUGGUCGGCCUAAACAUGCUCCUAACGGGUCAUAACACAAAGCAAGAUGAAGUACCAAACAAAAGUAAUAAAGCAACAGUAAAAGUAAGUAUAAAAUAUAAUACCUUAUACUCAAACCCAAGCCAUGUAUGAACUUUAUCGAUUCAUAUUUAUUUCAUAUUCAAAUUCUUUUAAAUUUACCAAAACCCCAACCCCAACCAGUAUUUCUUUUACUACUCAAACCAUCAAUAAAUCUAUAUAACCUAUUCAUUUGAUUCUCCUAUUAUAGGUUAUUAAUACUAGAACCUGGAAACCUCUACCUCUUAAGGAAAGCAUUGCAGCAGACUUGAAAUCUCAAUUUAGCUAUUUAAAGUUUAAACGUAAACAAUAAUCAAGAACACAAGGAUCAUCCAAUUAAAAAACUAGGGAAAGAGAGGGGUAAGGUUUAGACCUUUAUUGAUGAAUCCAAGGGUGUAAUUCAGAAGGCAAACUGGAAAUCGGAACCAGAGCUUGACCGAAAAACCUUGGCUGAAAUCAAACGGGACCGGAACCAUCGAGCCAAGAAUGGAAACUUCGUUGUAAAGUUUGAACGACGAUGGCAUCGGCGGCGACGCUAGCUAAGUGAGAGAUGAGAGGAUUGAGUGAAAUAGUGAGAAGAGGGGGUCAUCGUUUUCAUAAUCGCUGAAUUUCUGCCGGAGCUCUUAGAGUGAAUGGGAGCGGCUAUUUUUCUAGAAAAAAAAUGAGAGCCUUCCCCCUUUUUCGCUGCUGCUUUCCCCAAAUGCUCUAUCUCAUUUCAGUCUCUUAAUCUGUAUGUAGAGUGUCAAAUAUAUGAAUAUCUUGAUUCAAAUUUUCAGGCAAGCUAUAAUAGAAUGGAUCAAUUAAAUGGUCACGUUUGAUUCUGCAAAGUUGCUGGGCGGUUGCUGCCUCUCAAGUGUGAUAGAAUGAGAGAUUUUUUGGAAUUAAAGAUGAUUGGAAAUAGUGGUGGUAUUUGUGAAAAUCAGAGAGUGUUGAUUUCUUGAAUUUUUUUUCUAAGAAGAACAAUGAAUUAAAGUGACGUUCUACUUUUCGUUUUGCUUGUCCCUUCCUUUUUCGUGAGUGUGUGUGCUUUUUUUUUAUUGCCGCUGUUGGGAGCAGCUGGAGACGGGUGGUCGCUGGCGACUGGGGGUCUCUCCUAGAUUUUUUUUUGUGGUUCUCCCCUUAUAAUAAUGAAAAAUUCCAGACCCUUCCUCAACUGCUUGGAGAAAAGAAAAGAGAUCUCUUAGCCAAUACCGUGUGGUCCCUAUCAGUAAAAAAUGCCAUAUUUCUGUAUGCAAUGUAAAAAUGAAAUGGAAUGUGUAGUGGUGUGACGUGGCAGGGAGUUAAGGCGAGGACAAGAAUUGUGAAUUUCUAUUGUGCAAAUGAAUCCAAAAACGUGAGAGUGGGGAGUGUGAAUCUUUGUGAUUUUCACUUUUUGCUUUCUUUCUUAUUCAAUUAAAGGAAUGGAAAACAUAAAACCAUAAAAUAAGAAAACCAACUAGCUAUAAAUCUAUAUUUUUCUUUUUCUUUGACUUUCUUUCAAGAUAUAUUGCUAGAUGAAGAUACUAAUUAGCUAAAACUAAAGAAAAUAUUUUUGUAAUUUUUAUUUUGUGAUAAAAUAAAGUAAAAGGGUCAAAACUAGUUAAAAUAGCGAUAUUAGACCUAAAUAAAUAUUUAAAUGCUAAAAUAUAUAAAAUCUCGGGGAUGGUCAAAAAUUACAUGUCUACAAAGUAGACAUAACAAAGUUGGGAACACAAAGUAGCUAAUCAAGUAGGUCACAAGACUUAGAAGCAGGUUCAGCAGGACUUAGAAGCAAGUUCAACACCUAGCCAAAUAAUACAUUGGCAGUCACAUAUUGAAAGAGUUAAGGGAGAAACCAGUUUGUAGGAUUAACAAAGAUUAUCAUACACAUGUGCAUAAUACCAAACCAGUUGAAACCUAAAAUGUCCAAAUUAUGCUAAGUAUACAUUCCAGUGUCAUAAGACAAAUAUGUUAACUCUCAUCAGGAAACAAAACAACAUUUAGACAUGAUAGGGGAACACAAAUUGUGAGAAGUCAAGUAAUCACUGAAGGAACAGGGAAUCAAGUGAGCCAAAGGCAUGCUAAGGGACACAUAGGUUAUAAUACAUUACAGAUGUGAGAUAUUUAUUACAGAGAUUCAGGACAAAGCAGUAAAGCAGGUUCAUGUCAAAUAGCAAAUGUAGACAUUCAGACAUCAAUACAAUAGACUAAUUGCAACGACCCGACCGGUCAUUUUGAGAAUUAAUGCCUAGAUCCCCUAUUAACUACUUUUCUCAUGUUUAUUUCUACUAUUAUAAUUUGCCGGGAAGAUUCCUUUUGAGUUUCAUAGUGUUUUGGGACAUUUAGUCCCUAAAUGAGAGCUUAAGUUUUAGAAUUUGGACCGUAGUCGGAGUAGUAUGAAGACGGCUUCGGAAUGGAAUUCCGUCAAUUCCGUUAGUUCCGUUAGGUGAUUUCGGGCUUAGGGGCGUGUUCGCAUUGUAUUUUGGAGGUCCGUAGCUUAUUUAGGCCUGAAAUGCUGAAAGCUGAAUUUUUGAAGUUUUCGAAUCGAUAGUGAGAUUUUGAUAUCGGGGUCGAAAUCCAAUUCCAAAAGUUAGUAUAGCUCCGUAGAGUUGAAUGUGACUUUUGUGCAAAAUUUGUGGUCAAUCGAACAUGGUUUGGUUGGUUUUGGCAUCGGUUGUAGAAUUCUUGAGAUUUCAAGUUCAUUAGGCUUGGAUUGGAGGGUAAUUCAUGGUUUUAGCAUUGUUUGAUGUGAUUUGAGGGUUAGAUUAAGUUCGUAUAAUGUUUUAGGAUUGGCUGGUAUGUUUGGUUGAGGUCCCGGAGGCCUCGGGUGAGUUUCAGAUGCUUAACGGAAGUUGAAUUUGGACUUGGAAAAAUUCUGAAGUUGCUGCUUCUGGUAUUUUUGCAUAUGCGGUGAGGAGCCCAUAGGUGCGGCCCACAGAAGCGAGGAAAUAGGUCGCAGGUGCGUUUUGGAGCACGAAGGCCAGUGGCCGCAGAUACGGCUCAAGGACCGCAGAAGUGGACUGCAUCUGCUGAGAAGGGAGCGCAGGUGCAGUGCCUAGGGAGUUAAUGAAAUUUCGCAAAUACGGAGCCCAAGACGCAGGUGUGGUACUGCAGGUGCGGCCCCAUGAACCGCAGAUGCGGAAAUCAUUGGGCAGAUAUAGAAAAAUCGAGGGUUUGAGUUCAUAACUUGGAAAAAUCAAAUUGGACCGGGGAAGGUGAUUCUGUGGGGAUUUUGACGAGAAGACCAUUGGGUAAAUAUUCCUAAUACCUUUUUAACUGUAUCCUAUUAAUCUAAGCUUAAAUUCAUUAAUUAAUUUCGGAUAUGGGGUGAAAAUUGGGAGAAUUGAGGAAAAGUUCUUAGGAGUUUUUGGAUUUUGAUCGAGAUUUUGGUAUCGAAUUUGAGUGAUUUUGGUAUGGUUAGACUCGUGAGUGAAUGGGUGUUCAUAAUCCAUAAUUUUUACCUGAUUCCAAGAUGUGUGUCCGGGAGAAUUUUUGAGCGUUUUUCUAUUUUCUUACCUUAGCUUUGAUUCAUUUAACUAAAUUCGUUGUUUGUGGUUAUAUUUACAUUAUGAAAUUGAUUUGAUUAGAUUUGGGCUACUCGAAGUUGGAUACUCAGGGCAAGAGCGUGAUUUCGGAUUGAUUUGAGCUGGUUUGAGAUAAGUGGCUUGCCUAACCUUGUGUGGGGGAACUCCCCUUAGGAUUUGGUAUUGUUGUUAUAUGAAUGCCGUGUACGUGAGGUGAUGAGUGCGUACACGUGCUAAUUGUUGGAAAACCCCAUUUUCAUUAAGUAAACAUCUAUGUUUCCUUUUUUUUCCGAACACUACUUGUAUUUUAAAGCCUACUGUUUAGCUUAGGAAAGCAUGCUUAAGUUACUUAGCUGUUUUAUCUUCUUAAACUGUUUACUUGAAUUCUAUGCAGUAUGUUUAGAAUAGGAACCUCUGUUUUAUUGUUACGAACUUGGAUAGAACUGUAGAUUCUUUCUUGAGACUGUUGUGUGUUUACUUUGGGACUACGGGACGACAUCCCGGGAGAUUCCCCUAUAAUGGUUAUUUACUUUGGGACUACAGAUUGGUAUUUUAGGAUAUUCCCUUGCAUAUUUAUGAUUCAGACUAUUGGACAAUAUCCCAGGAGGUCCUCUGCAUAUUUCGUUUGGGUCUACGGGACGACACCUUGGGAGAUCCCAUGUUGCUAUUUCUGUGUACUGAGUUAUAUUCUUUCUGUGAUUUUAUUCAUUAUCGACUGUUAAUAUUUUAAUUAUACCAUCACAUUUCAUACUGUUUUACCUUGUUAUAUGUAUAUAACCAGUAGGGCCCUAACCUUUCUCGUCACUACUCGACCGAGGUUACGCUUGACACUUACUGGGUACUGCUGUGGUGUACUCAUGCCCUUUCCUGCACAUGUUUUUUGUGUGCAGAUCCAGAUUUUUCUGCUCAGCCGUUCUAUUAGUGAGGCGGGCGAUAUCAGAGACUACAAGGUAUAUCUACCGCAUCCGCAGACCUAGAAGUCCCUCUCUAUUCUUCCCUUUAGCUUUAGACUUCUUAUAUUUACUUUUGAUUAGACAUUCUGGAGUUAGAACAUUAUGUAGUUUUCUAUAGCUUGUGAUUUCAUGAGAUUCCGAGUUUUGGAAGUUUUUAUUCAGUUUUGAGAGUGUGUGUUGUAUAUGCCGAGCGACAUUUUAAACUCUUUUAUUAUGUUUUACCCGCAACUUGCUAGUUUCGUAUUUCAUUUCCUUUUUCCGUGUUUUGUUAGGCUUACCUAGUCGUAGAUACUAGGUGCCGUCACGAUAGUUUAUGGAGGGAGAACUUGGGUCGUGACAAGUUGGUAUCAGAGCUAUAAGUUUAUAGGAGUCAUAAAUCACAAGCCGGUUUAUUAGAUUCUCGCGCAUUAGUAUAGCGAUAUUUGUACUUACCUACGAGAAGCUAUUUAACUGUUAGGAAAAUUUCACUUCAUAUGAUUUCCAUUGCGUGCAAGAUUUUGAUAUCAAAACUCUAAACCUCUGUCUUCUAUUUUCUCACAGAUGGUGAGGACACAUGCUGCCAGAGAGGACCAGGCACCCGUGCCCCUUGCUAGAGCCGCUAGAGGUCGAGGCUGGGGUAGAGGGCAAGGACGCUCACGUGGUACAUCCAGAGCAUUCACGCGAGCUACCACAGAGGGUCCACCAGCAGCUCCAGUCGGAGCCCAGACACUUGAUAUUCCUACUGUUAUUACUAUUCCAGCUCUUCACGAAACCUUUGCAUAGUUCGUGAGCAUGUGCACAACUCUAGCUCAGGCAGGGUUGAUCCCCUUGAUGAAGCCACAUUCCAGGCCGGGGGAGAAGAAAAGACUCCCGCCGCCCGCACCCCAGAGUAGUGGGUCCAAGUUGAUCAGACCCUAGAGGUUAUACCGGUACCGCCUGUAGCUCUAGUUUAGCCCGAGGACAUGGUAGCAACUUCAGAGGAUAAGCAACGAAGGCUUGAGAGGUUUAAGAAGUACAAGCCUCCUAUAUUCAAUGGUUUAGCAUCAGAUGCUGCUCUGGGAUUUCUGGAGGAGUGCUUCCGUAUCCUCCACACUAUGGGUAUAUUAGGAUCGAGUGGGGUUUCUUUCACUACCUUCCAGCUUCGAGGAGCAGCCUAUUAGUGGUGGCGUACUUUUGAGUUGGAUAGUCCAGUUGAGGCAGCUUCCCUUACAUGGACACAGUUUUUAUAUAUGUUUUUUUAGGGAAUAUGUUCCUUAGAGCCUUAGGGAUGCAUGACGUGCAGAGUUUGAGCAUUUGCGCCAGGGUACUAUGACUGUUUCAGAGUAUGCUGUCCGUUUCACUGACUUGGCUAGGCAUGCACCUGCCUUGGUUUCUAAUGUUCGUGAGAGAGUUUGCCGGUUUAUUGAGGGGCUCAUUCCCAGCAUCAGUUCUAGCAUGGCUCGGGAGUUAGAGAUGGAUAUUUCUUAUCAUCAGGUGGUGAGCAUUGCUAGGAGAGUAGAGGGUAUGCAUGCUCGAGAUAGAGAGGAGAGGGAGGCUAAGAGAUACCGAGAGUUGGGCCAUUAUUCUAGCGCCCGUGCCCCAGCUACAGUUCGUCAUGGUAGGGGUUAUAUAAGUCGCCCCAUUCAUUCAGCUCUUCCAACAGCCAGCGGUAUUCCAACUCCUCUUAUACCUUAAGAGCCUUAUUAUGCACCUCCGGUAUCUAGUGCGCCUCAUGCAUGGGGUGCUUUCAGUAGUCAGUCCAGCAGACCUAGACCGAGCCAGUCACAUGAUCCACGUCCUCCCAGAGCUUGUUUUUAGUGUGGCGAUGCACACCAUAUGGUGAGGGAUUGCCCCAGACUUAGGAGCGGUGCACCUCCACAGACUUCUCAGCCACAACGUGCUCCACAUAGUUCCGAGGCUAUGAUCACAACACCAGUUGCUGCCCUACCUGCCCAGCCAGCUGGAGGUGGAGGUCAGGGAGGUAGAGGUCACCCUGGGAGGGAGGCCAUGCUAGAUAUUAUGCCCUUACUGCCCGUACUAUGGCUGUCGCCUCUGAUUCUGUCAUCACAGGUAUUGUCCUGGUUUAUCAUAGAGAUGCAUCAGUUUUAUUCAAUCCAGGCUCCACUUAUGUUUAUGUGUCCUCUUAUUUUGCCCCGCAUUUGGGCAUAUAUCGGGAUUCUUUGAGUUCCCCUAUUUAUGUUUCUACUCCUGUGGGAGAUUCUCUUAUUGUGGACUGCGUUUAUUGGUCAUGUUUCAUUACUCUUAGUGGUUUUGAGACCAGAGUCAAUUUACUAUUGCUCUACAUGGUAGAUUUUGAUGUUAUCUUGGGCAUGGACUGGUUGUCACCCAAUUACGCUAUUCUUGAUUGUCACUCCAAAACUGUGACGCUGGCUAUGCUAGGUCUACCGCGAGUAGAGUGGAGGGAUACUUUAGAUCACACUCCCAGUAGAGUUAUUUCAUUUCUUAAAGCUCAACGAAUGGUUGAGAAGGGGUGUGGCACAUAUCUAGCUUAUGUGAGAGAUAUCAGUAUUAAUACCCCUACAGUUGAUUCAGUCCCAGUAGUACGGGAUUUCCCUGAUGUGUUUCUAGCUGAUCUUCUGGUUAUGCCACCCGACAGAUAUAUUGAUUUCAGCAUUGAUUUGUUGCUGGGCACUCAACCAAGUUCUAUUCCUCCUUAUUGUAUGGCCCCUCCUUAGUUGAAGGAGCAGUUGCAGGAAUUGCUUGACAAAGGUUUUAUUCGGCCCAGUGUAUCACCUUGGGGUGUUCCUAUCUUGUUUGUGAAGAAAAAAGAUGGUUCUAUAUGUAUGUGCAUUGUUUAUCGCCAGUUGAACAAAGUCACAGUGAAGAACCGAUAUCCUUUGCCUCAUAUUGAUGACCUGUUUGAUCAGUUACAGGGUGAUCGAGUGUUUUCUAAGAUUGACUUACGUUCAGGUUUUCAUCAGUUGAAGAUUCGGGAGCCAGAUAUCCCGAAGACUGCUUUCAGGAUUCGGUAUAGUCAUUACGAGUUCCUUGUUAUAUCAUUUGGGUUGUCCAAUGCCCCAGCAAUAUUUAUGCAUUUGAUGCACAGCAUGUUCCGGCCAUAUCUUGACUCGUUCGUCAUUAUUUCUAUUGAUGAUAUUCUGGUAUACUCCCAAAGUCGGGAAGAUCAUGAGCAACACCUAAGGACAAUGCUUCAGACUUUAAGAGAAAAGAAAUUAUAUGUGAAGUUCUCGAAAUGUGAGUUUUAGUUGGAUUCCGUGGCAUUCUUGGGUCACGUGGUAUCGAAUGAAGGGAUCAAGGUGGAUCCGAAGAUAGUGGAAGCAGUGCAGAGUUGGCCCAGACCAUCCUCAACUAUAGAGAUCCGUAGUUUUCUUGGCUUGGCGGGUUAUUACCGUCGAUUUGUUGAGGAAUUUUCAUCUAUUGCAACACCUAUGACUAGGCUAGCCCAGAAGGGCGCUCCAUUCAAGUGGACAAAAGAUUGUGAGGAGAGCUUCCAGAAGCCCAAGACAGCUUUGACUACAGCCCCAGUAUUGAUAUUGCCUAUAGGUUCGGGGUCUUAUGUUGUCUAUUGUGACGCCUCGAGGAUUUGCCUUGGAGCGGUAUUGAUGUCGAACGGUAGGGUGAUUGCCUACAUGUCUAGACAGUUGAAGCUACAUGAGAAGAAUUAUCCUGUCCAUGAUCUCGAGUUAGCUGCUAUUGUUCAUGCCUUGAAGAUCUGACGUCAUUAUUUAUACGGUGUUCCUUGUGAGAUCUAUACUAAUCACUAGAGUUUGUAGCAUCUGUUCAAGCAGAAAGACCUAAAUUUGCACUAGAGGGGGUGGUUAGAGCUAUUAAAGGAUUAUGAUAUCACUAUCUUGUAUCACAUGGGUAAGGCCAAUGUGGUGCCCGAUGCUUUGAGUCACCGGGCGGAGAGUUUAGGGAGUUUGGUUUACCUACCAGCAGCGGAGAGGUCCAUGGCAAUAGAUGUUCAGGUCUUAGCCAGUUUGUGCGAUUGGAUCUUUCGGAGCCCAGUCGGGUUCUAGCUUGUGUGAUUUCUCGAUCUUUCUUGUUGGAUCGUAUUAGAGAGCAUCAGUUUGAUGACCCUCAUUUGCUUGUCCUCAAAGACAAGGUUCUGUAUGGUGAUGCCAGAGAUGUGACCAUUGGCGAUGACGGGGUAUUGAGGAUGUAGGGUCGGAUAUGUGUACCCAAUGUUGAUGGGCUUUGGGAGUUGAUUCUAGAGGAGGCCCAUAGUUUGUGGUAUUCCAUCCAUCCGGGUGCCGCGAAUAUGUACCAGGAUUUGAGACAACAUUAUUAAUAGAGGCGGAUGGAGAAAGAUAUAGUUGGGUUUGUAGCUCGAUGCCUCAAUUAUCAGUAGGUAAAGUAUGAGCACCAGAGACCGGGUAGUUUGCUUCAGCAGAUGGAGAUUCUGGAGUGGAAGUGGGAGUGGAUCACCAUGGACUUUGUAGUUGGACUCCCACGAACUUUAAGGAAGUUCGAUGCCAUUUGGGUGAUUGUGGAUUGGCUGACAAAGUCCGUGCAUUUCAUUCUUGUGUGUACUACCUACUCUUCGGAGCGGUUGGCGGAGAUUUAUAUCCGGGAGAUUGUUUGUAUGUAUGGUAUUCCAGUUUCCAUCAUCUCAGAUAGAGGCACUCAAUUCACAUCACAGUCUAGAGGACCGUACAACAUGAGUUGGGUACUCAGGUGGAGUUGAGCAUAACAUUUCACCCCCAGACAGACGGACAGUCCGAGCGCACUAUUCAAAUUCUUGAGGAUAUGCUUCGUACGGGUGUGACGGAGUUUGGAGGGUCUUGGGAUCAGUUCUUGCCACUGGCGGAGUUUGCCUACAACAACAAUUAUCAGUCCAACAUUCAGAUGGCACCGUAUGAGGCUUUGUAUGGUAGGCGGUGUAGAUCCCCGGUGUGUUGGUUCGAGCCGGGUGAGGCUAGAUUAUUGGGCACAGACUUGGUUCAGGACGCCUUGGAGAAGGUUAAAGUCAUUCAGGAUAGACUCCAUACAGCCGAGUCCAGACAAAAGAGUUAUGCGGACCAGAAGGUUCAUGAUGUUUCCUAUAUGGUUGGAGAGCGGGUCUUGCUUCGGGUUUUGCGUAUGAAUGGCAUUAUGAGAUUUGGGAAGAAAGGGAAAUUGAGUUCGAGGUUUAUUGGUCCUUUUGAGGUAUUGCGACGUGUUGGGGAGGUUUCUUAUGAGCUUUCCUUACCUCCCGGCUUGGCAGGAUUUCAUCCGAUAUUUCAUGUUUCAAUGCUCCGGAAGUAUCACGGUGAUCCGUCACAUGUGUUGGAUUUCAGUUCAGUCCAUUUGGACAAGGAUUUAUCUUAUGUUGAGGAGCUAGUGGCGAUAGUGGUUAGGCAAGUUCAAAAGUUGAGGUCAAAGAACAUUGCAUCAGUGAAGGUUUAGUGGCGGGGUCAACCGGACUAGGAGGCGACUUGGUAGACCGAGCAGAAUAUGCGCAACCGUUACCCUCAUCUUUUUACCACUUCAGGUAUGUCUCUAUGCUCGUUCGAGGAUGAAUGAAUGUUUUAAGAGGGGGAGGAUGUAACGACCCGGCUGGUCAUUUUGAGAAUUAAUGCCUCGAUCCCCUAUUAACUGCUUUCCCCGUAUUAAUUUCUGCUAUUAUUAUUUGCUAGGAAGAUUUUGAAUUUCGAUGUGUUUUGGGACAUUUAGUCCCUAAAUGAGAGCUUAAGCUUUAGAAUUUGGACUGUAGUCAGAGCAGUGUCAAGAUGACUUUGGAAUGAAAUUUUGUCGAUUCCGUUAGCUUCGUUGGGUGAUUUCGGGCUUAGGGGCGUGUUCGGAUUAUUUUUUGGAGGUCCGUAGCUUAUUUAGGCUUGAAAUACCGAAAGUUAAAUUUUUGAAGUUUCCGGAUCGAUAGUGAGAUUUUGAUAUCGGGGUCGGAAUUCGAUUCCGAAAGUUGGUAUAGCUCCGUAGUGUUGAAUGUGACUUGUGUGCAAAAUUUAGGAUCAAUCGGACAUGGUUUGGUUGGUUUCGACAUCGGUUGUAGAAUUCUUGAGAUUUCAAGUUCAUUAGGCUUGGUUUGGAGGGUGAUUCGUGGUUUUGGCGUUGUUUGAUGUGAUUCGUGGGUUGGAUUAAGUUAGUAUGAUUUUUUAGGAUUGGUUGAGGUCCCGGGGGCCUCGGGUGGGUUUCGGAUGCUUAACGGAAGUUGAAUUUGGAAUUAGGCAAAUUCUGAAGUUGCUGAUUCUGGUAUUUUCACACCUGCGGUGAGGAGCCCACAGGUACGACCUGCAGAAGUGAGGAAAUAGGUCGCAUGUGCGUUCUGGAGCACAAAGGCAGUGCCUAGGGAGCUAAUGAAAUUCAGUAGAUACAGAGCCCAAGAUGCAGGUGCGGGACCGGUGGUGUGGCCCCAUGAACCGCAGAUGCGGAAAUCACUGGGCAGAUAUAGAAAAAUUUAGGGUCUGAGUUCAUAACUUGGAAAAAUCAAAUUGGAGCUCGGGGAAAGGCGAUUCUGUGGGGAUUUUGAAGAGAAGACCAUUGGGUAAUGAUUCCUAAUCUCUUUUUGAUUGUAUCUCAUUAAUCUAAGCUUAAAUUCAUCAAUUAAUUUCGGAUUUGGGGUGAAAAAUUGGGAGAAUUGAGGAAAAGUUCUUAGGCCGAAUUUUUAGAUUUUGAUCGAGGUUUUUGUAUCGGAUUUGAGUGGUUUUGGUAUGGUUAGACUCGUGAGUGAAUGGAUGUUCAUAAUCCAUAAUUUUUACCUGAUUCUGAGACGUGGGCCUAGGGAUGAUUUUUGGGCGUUUUUCUAUUUUCUUACCUUAGCUUCGAUUCCUUUAGCUAAAUUCGUUGUUUGUGGUUAUAUUUACAUUAUGAAAUUGAUUUAAUUAUAUUUGGUCCAUUCGAUGUUGUAUACUCAUGGCAAUAGCGUGAUUUCGGAUUGAUUUGAGCUGGUUCGAGGUAAGUGGCUUGCCUAACCUUAUGUGGGGGAACUCCCCCUUGGAUUUGGUAUUGUUGUUAUAUGAAUGCCGUGUACGUACGGUGACGAGUGCGUACACAUGCUAAUUUUUGGAAAACCCCAUUUUCCUUAGGUAAACAUCCGUGUUUCCUUUUUUUUGUUGAACACUACUUGUAUUUUAAAGGCUACUGUUUAACUUAGGAAAGCAUGCUUAAGUGACUUAGCUAUUCUAUGUGCUUAAAUUGUUUACUUGAAUUCUGUGCAGCAUGUUUAGAAUAGGAAUCUCUAUUUUCUUAGUACGAACUGAUAUAAAACUGUAGAUUUUUUCUUAAGACUGUUGUGUGUUUACUUGGGACUACGGGAUUAUAUCUCGGGAGAUCUCCUUUGCAUGUUUACUUUGGGAUUACAGAUCGGUAUUCCGGGAGAUCCCCCUACACAUUUAUAUUUGAGACUACGGGACGAUAUCCCUGGAGAUUCCCCUAACUGGAUAUUUGCUUUGGGACUACGGAUUGGUAUUCCGGGAGAUUCCCCUGCAUAUUUAUGAUUCAUACUAUGCGAAGAUAUCCCGGGAGAUGCUCUGCAAAUUUCGUUUGGGACUAUUGGACGACAUCCUCGGAGAUCCCCUGUUGCUAUUUCCGUGUACUGAGUUAUAUUCUUUAUAUGAUUUUAUUCUUUAUCAACUGUUAGUAUUUUAAUUAUACCGUCACAUUUCAUACUAUUUAUCUUGUUAUAUGUAUAUAAUUAGUAGGGCCCUGACCUUUCUCGUCACUACUCGACCGAGGUUAAGCUUGACACUUACUGGGUACCGCUGUGGUGUACUCAUGCCCUUUCUUGCACAUGUUUUUCGUGUGCAGAUGCAGGUUCUUCUGCUUAGCCAUUCUAUUAGUGAUGCGGGCGAUAUCAGAGACUUUGAGGUAUUACAGCCGCGUCCACAUACCUAAAAGUCCCUCUCUAUUCUCCCCUUUAGCUUUAGACUUCCUGUAUUUACUUUUGAUUAGACAUUCUAGAGUUAGAACACUAUGUAGUUUUCUAUAGCUUGUGAUUUCAUGAGAUUUCGGGUUUUGGGAGUUUUGAUCAGUUCUGAGAGUGUGUGUUGUAUAUGGCGAGCGUCAUUUUAAACUCUUUUAUUAUGUUUUACCCGCAACUUGCUGGUUUCGUAUUUCUUUCUUUUUUCCACGUUUUGUUAGGCUUACCUAUUCGUAGAGACUAGGUGCCGUCACAACAGUUUACGGAUGGAGAACUUGGGUCGUGACACCAAUACGAACUUAAGAGAGUCUAAAUCAUUCAGGUGAAGCAUGUUCAAGUAGCAUAUAUUAGAAUUGGCAGCUGUUAGGUAAAAUUAAAUGCUAAAGAGGUUCAAACCAAUGUAAAGCCGACAAGAUCACACAUAGAAGUAGCCCAGAAUACAUUAGCUUAAAAGAAUCUAUAUUAUUCAAAUUAGGCGUAAGCAUGUUUCAGAACUGACAACAUUAGAUUAAAUUAAAUGCUAAAGAGAUUAAAACGACUAUAAAUCUAACAGAAUUGCACACAAGAGUUUCCCAGAAACACAUCAAGCCUUGGAUUUCAGAAGUAGGAAUGUGCUAACCAUAAACACACAAGAACAAAAUUACAAAGGUCAAAUGACUUACCAAUUAAACGGACAACAAUAAAGAACAAAAUUCCACAAUGCGUCAAAGUUCCCAAGAGCUUCAAAGGAACCCCGAGCAAUGCUCACACCAAGAGAAGGUUGAAUAAUAGAAUAUCAGUGGCCUUGGCUUUCAGCCAGCCAAAGACGAA
RNAcentral lists this long non-coding RNA (15412 nucleotides) under Nicotiana tabacum (common tobacco). RNAcentral describes it as "long non-coding RNA (NTAB_LNC013845)". Lineage: Eukaryota; Viridiplantae; Streptophyta; Magnoliopsida; Solanales; Solanaceae. The record is from RNAcentral.